Molecule: ribosomal RNA, 619 nt
Filed under: uncultured bacterium
Lineage: Bacteria
Description: bacterial SSU rRNA
Rfam family: Bacterial small subunit ribosomal RNA
Source: RNAcentral
UCUCCUACGGGAGGCAGCAGUGGGGAAUAUUGGACAAUGGGGGGAACCCUGAUCCAGCCAUGCCGCGUGUGUGAAGAAGGCCUUAUGGUUGUAAAGCACUUUAAGCGAGGAGGAGGCUACUGAGACUAAUACUCUUGGAUAGUGGACGUUACUCGCAGAAUAAGCACCGGCUAACUCUGUGCCAGCAGCCGCGGUAAUACAGAGGGUGCGAGCGUUAAUCGGAUUUACUGGGCGUAAAGCGUGCGUAGGCGGCUUUUUAAGUCGGAUGUGAAAUCCCCGAGCUUAACUUGGGAAUUGCAUUCGAUACUGGGAAGCUAGAGUAUGGGAGAGGAUGGUAGAAUUCCAGGUGUAGCGGUGAAAUGCGUAGAGAUCUGGAGGAAUACCGAUGGCGAAGGCAGCCAUCUGGCCUAAUACUGACGCUGAGGUACGAAAGCAUGGGGAGCAAACAGGAUUAGAUACCCUGGUAGUCCAUGCCGUAAACGAUGUCUACUAGCCGUUGGGGCCUUUGAGGCUUUAGUGGCGCAGCUAACGCGAUAAGUAGACCGCCUGGGGAGUACGGUCGCAAGACUAAAACUCAAAUGAAUUGACGGGGGCCCGCACAAGCGGUGGAGCAUGUGGA